RNAcentral lists this small RNA (28 nucleotides) under Bombyx mori (domestic silkworm). RNAcentral describes it as "ovarian small RNA-10802". Lineage: Eukaryota; Metazoa; Arthropoda; Insecta; Lepidoptera; Bombycidae. The record is from RNAcentral.
AAUCGUAAUACGAGUCGACGUUCACUGA